UACGUAGGGAGCAGGCGUUGUCCGGAAUCAUUGGGCGUAAAGCGCGCGUAGGUGGCUUCGUAAGUCCGUUGUGAAAGUCAAAGGCUCAACCUUUGAAAGCCGAUGGAUACUGCGGAGCUAGAGUACGGAAGAGGCGAGUGGAAUUCCUGGUGUAGCGGUGGAAUGCGCAGAUAUCAGGAGGAACACCAAUAGCGAAGGCAGCUCGCUGGGACGUUACUGACACUGAGGCGCGAAAGCGUGGGGAGCGAACAGG
RNAcentral lists this ribosomal RNA (253 nucleotides) under uncultured bacterium. RNAcentral describes it as "partial 16S ribosomal RNA". It matches the Rfam family "Bacterial small subunit ribosomal RNA", at positions 524 to 776 of the family's 1533-position model. The record is from RNAcentral.